Molecule: ribosomal RNA, 432 nt
Filed under: uncultured bacterium
Lineage: Bacteria
Description: partial 16S ribosomal RNA
Rfam family: Bacterial small subunit ribosomal RNA
Source: RNAcentral
ACGAACGCUGGCGGCAUGCCUAACACAUGCAAGUCGCACGAGACCUUCGGGUCUAGUGGCGCACGGGUGCGUAACGCGUGGGAACCUGCCUUUAGGUUCGGAAUAACUCAGAGAAAUUUGAGCUAAUACCGGAUGAUGUCUUCGGACCAAAGAUUUAUCGCCUUUAGAUGGGCCCGCGUUGGAUUAGCUAGUUGGUGGGGUAAAGGCCUACCAAGGCGACGAUCCAUAGCUGGUCUGAGAGGAUGAUCAGCCACACUGGGACUGAGACACGGCCCAGACUCCUACGGGAGGCAGCAGUGGGGAAUAUUGGACAAUGGGCGAAAGCCUGAUCCAGCAAUGCCGCGUGAGUGAUGAAGGCCUUAGGGUUGUAAAGCUCUUUUACCCGAGAUGAUAAUGACAGUAUCGGGAGAAUAAGCUCCGGCUAACUCCGUG